ACGGGUGAGUAAUAUGUGGGAAUCUACCUUUUGGUUCGGAAUAACACGGGGAAACCUGUGCUAAUACCGGAUAAGCCUUUACGGGGAAAGUUUUAAUGCCGAAAGAUGAGCCCGCACUUGAUUAGCUAGUUGGUAAGGUAAAAGCUUACCAAGGCAACGAUCAAUAGCUGUUCUUAGAGGAAGACCAGCCACAUUGGGACUGAGACACGGCCCAGACUCCUACGGGAGGCAGCAGUGGGGAAUCUUGCACAAUGGGGGAAACCCUGAUGCAGCGAUGCCGCGUGAGUGAAGAAGGCCCUUGGGUUGUAAAACUCUUUCGUCGGGGAAGAAAAUGACUGUACCCGAAUAAGAAGGUCCGGCUAACUUCGUGCCAGCAGCCGCGGUAAUACGAAGGGACCUAGCGUAGUUCGGAAUUACUGGGCUUAAAGAGCUCGU
This 435-nucleotide ribosomal RNA is filed under the name uncultured Alphaproteobacteria bacterium. Its description in RNAcentral is "bacterial SSU rRNA". It matches the Rfam family "Bacterial small subunit ribosomal RNA", at positions 102 to 572 of the family's 1533-position model. The record is from RNAcentral. Lineage: Bacteria; Pseudomonadati; Pseudomonadota; Alphaproteobacteria.